Molecule: ribosomal RNA, 396 nt
Filed under: uncultured bacterium
Lineage: Bacteria
Description: bacterial SSU rRNA
Rfam family: Bacterial small subunit ribosomal RNA
Source: RNAcentral
GACGAACGCUGGCGGCGUGCCUAAUACAUGCAAGUAGAACGCUGAAGGAGGAGCUUGCUUCUCUGGAUGAGUUGCGAACGGGUGAGUAACGCGUAGGUAACCUGCCUGGUAGCGGGGGAUAACUAUUGGAAACGAUAGCUAAUACCGCAUAAUAGUAGAUGUUGCAUGACAUUUGCUUAAAAGAUGCAAUUGCAUCACUACCAGAUGGACCUGCGUUGUAUUAGCUAGUUGGUGGGGUAACGGCUCACCAAGGCGACGAUACAUAGCCGACCUGAGAGGGUGAUCGGCCACACUGGGACUGAGACACGGCCCAGACUCCUACGGGAGGCAGCAGUAGGGAAUCUUCGGCAAUGGACGAAAGUCUGACCGAGCAACGCCGCGUGGAGGACGACGGCC